GGGGAUAUAACUCAGUUGGUAGAGUGCUUGCCUUGCAAUGCACAAGGCCCUAGGUUCAAUCCCUAGCAUCACCA
This 74-nucleotide transfer RNA is filed under the name Marmota monax (woodchuck). It matches the Rfam family "tRNA". From Rfam's summary of the family: Transfer RNA (tRNA) molecules are approximately 80 nucleotides in length. The record is from Rfam by way of RNAcentral. Lineage: Eukaryota; Metazoa; Chordata; Mammalia; Rodentia; Sciuridae.